GACGAACGCUGGCGGCGUGCUUAACACAUGCAAGUCGAACGGAAAGGCCCUGCUUGCAGGGUACUCGAGUGGCGAACGGGUGAGUAACACGUGGGUGAUCUGCCCUGCACUUCGGGAUAAGCCUGGGAAACUGGGUCUAAUACCGGAUAGGAGCCAUAUUUAGUGUGAUGGUUGGAAAGUUUUUUCGGUGUAGGAUGAGCUCGCGGCCUAUCAGCUUGUUGGUGGGGUAAUGGCCUACCAAGGCGGCGACGGGUAGCCGGCCUGAGAGGGUGGACGGCCACAUUGGGACUGAGAUACGGCCCAGACUCCUACGGGAGGCAGCAGUGGGGAAUAUUGCACAAUGGGCGCAAGCCUGAUGCAGCGACGCCGCGUGGGGGAUGACUGCCUUCGGGUUGUAAACUCCUUUCGCUAGGGACGAAGCUUUUUGUGACGGUACCUAGAUAAGAAGCACCGGCUAACUACGUG
Molecule: ribosomal RNA, 465 nt
Filed under: uncultured bacterium
Lineage: Bacteria
Description: partial 16S ribosomal RNA
Rfam family: Bacterial small subunit ribosomal RNA
Source: RNAcentral